Molecule: ribosomal RNA, 253 nt
Filed under: uncultured bacterium
Lineage: Bacteria
Description: partial 16S ribosomal RNA
Rfam family: Bacterial small subunit ribosomal RNA
Source: RNAcentral
UACGUAGGGGGCAAGCGUUGUCCGGAAUUAUUGGGCGUAAAGCGCGUGUAGGCGGCUCGGUAAGUCUGCUGUGAAAGUCCAAGGCUCAACCUUGGAAAGCCGGUGGAUACUGUCGAGCUCGAGUCCGGAAGAGGCGAGUGGAAUUCCUGGUGUAGCGGUGAAAUGCGCAGAUAUCAGGAAGAACACCCGUGGCGAAGGCGGCUCUCUGGUACGUGACUGACGCUGAGACGCGAAAGCGUGGGGAGCGAACAGG